CCAAUAGCGUAUAUUAAAGUUGUUGCAGUUAAAAAGCUCGUAGUUGAAUUUCGGGACUAAUAUGUCGGUCGUACUUUGUACGUACUAGCAUUAUUGGUUUCUCCCUUCUGACGAACCACGAUGUCAUUAAUUUGGUGUCAUGGGAAAUCAGGACUGUUACUUUGAAAAAAUUAGAGUGUUUAAAGCAAGCUCGCGCUUGAAUACAUUAGCAUGGAAUAAUGAAAUAGGACGUUUGAUUCUAGUUUGUUGGUUUCUAGGAUCGACGUAAUGAUUAAUAGGGAUAGUUGGGGGCAUUAGUAUUCAAUUGUCAGAGGUGAAAUUCUUGGAUUUAUUGAAGACUAACUACUGCGAAAGCAUUUGCCAAGGAUGUUUUCAUUAAUCAAGAACGAAAGUUAGGGGAUCGAAGACGAUCAGAUACCGUCGUAGUCUUAACCAUAAACUAUGCCGACUAGGGAUCGGAUGAUGUUAAUUUUUUAAUGACUCAUUCGGCGCCUUACG
This 498-nucleotide ribosomal RNA is filed under the name uncultured Glomeromycotina. RNAcentral describes it as "partial small subunit ribosomal RNA". It matches the Rfam family "Eukaryotic small subunit ribosomal RNA", at positions 591 to 1092 of the family's 1831-position model. The record is from RNAcentral. Lineage: Eukaryota; Fungi; Glomeromycota.